AACGUAGGACGCAAGCGUUAUCCGGAGUUACUGGGCGUAAAGCGCGGGCAGGCGGCUCGAUGCGUCUGAUGUGAAAUCUCUUCGCUCAACGGGGAGAGGCCAUUGGAAACGGUCGAGCUGGAGGGCAGUAGAGGUAGGCGGAAUUCCGGGUGUAGUGGUGGAAUGCGUAGAGAUCCGGAGGAACACCAGCGGCGAAGGCGGCGUCCUGGACUGGUACUGACGCUCAGGAGCGAAAGCGUGGGGAGCGAUCCGG
RNAcentral lists this ribosomal RNA (253 nucleotides) under uncultured bacterium. RNAcentral's name for it is "partial 16S ribosomal RNA". It matches the Rfam family "Bacterial small subunit ribosomal RNA", at positions 524 to 776 of the family's 1533-position model. The record is from RNAcentral.